AGCUUAAUGAUGAUUGUCUUUUUGAUCGUUUAAAGCGAUGUGAAAACCCCAUUUCACCGGCUCUGAAAGCU
Suricata suricatta (meerkat) is the source of this 71-nucleotide small nucleolar RNA. Ensembl annotates it as small nucleolar RNA, C/D box 102. The record is from Ensembl. NCBI's taxonomy places the organism in Eukaryota, Metazoa, Chordata, Mammalia, Carnivora, Herpestidae.